Zonotrichia leucophrys gambelii is the source of this 2722-nucleotide long non-coding RNA. RefSeq lists it as uncharacterized. The record is from RefSeq and is a predicted model, not a curated record. The transcript is spliced from 6 exons. Lineage: Eukaryota; Metazoa; Chordata; Aves; Passeriformes; Passerellidae.
AGAGUGCCCUGGUGCUGCUGAAAUCCAUGGCAGAACAGGCAACAGCACACAGGAACCUGACUCGUGCAACACUGCUAGAAGGAGGGAACUGCAUCUCUUCUGAGGAUUUUCUCAGGUUUGGAGAGCUGUUGGAAUGUUGGCUGCAGACAGUACAUUUGUAUGCAGGCAGUAGGCAUUAAUUCAAAACACAAAGAGUGCAGAGAAGGCAACCAGCUGCCUACAGCUCAGUGUUACGUGUGUCCAACAUCACUGUGCUGCAGCACAGCUGUGUGUGGGGAAUAUUCCUUACAAGGCAGCAGUUUUCCAGCACUGCUUUUUAAACCUCAUGACAGCAACACAACGCUGCUUCUACUGCACAUCUGCUUCUACAGACCACAGCCCUUCUCUGCAGUGCCCUCAGACAACGCUGACUUGGCUAGCUGAAAGAAAACCCUGUCCUGCUGCCCUUCUAUAGUGGGUACACCUGGCAGAACCGGAGUGCUGCAAGAUAAGUCAGAAAGUGGGCAAAUGUGUGCAGAAUGUGUGAAAUCUGUCUGAAGGUCAAGAAGAGAAGAGAAGCUAAGGUGGAGGACCCAGACCGUGGAGAGCAUAAAGGAUUUGUCCAAAGAACCAGCAAGUCAUUUUAAAACAAGGAGUCCUCAUCUACCUAGCCACCAGACAUUCACCUUGUCCUGCAAACUUCCAGCUGGAUGAACUGCUGCCUGACAGAAAUAUGUGUGUAUACAAAUAUUCCCAGAUAUGUUUCCAAAAGAAGAAAAGAAAGAGCAGACCUUUACCUCUUUCUGCUGAGCCUGCACAGAGGGAAGAGAAAUCAGGAUGUGAAUCUGCUCUGAAGGAUCUCUAGAGCUUUCCCUGGAAGUCAGCUUCACAGGAAGAAACAGCUGAAUGGAUGUGAGGGAAAAAGAGACAUGUGCUUGGAUGAUAGUGAGUGAAACUGAAAAGUAAACAGCCUGAACUAUGGGAGGAUCCUCAGAUGGUGCUUACUGCUCCCAGCCAGCUUGCUCUCUUUUGUGAUGGUCUGAAAGAAUCUCAAGGCAUGACCUCCUGGGUAAAAUUAAGAACUUGAUUAAUUGAAAAAAUUCAUGAAUCAUGAUUUUCCCCACCAGUUUUGUGAUGUGUGUUGGCUGGAUUCUGAAGCCUUCUGUAAAGUAAAUCACAGCAAAUAGGGGGGAAGGGGGCAGGAGGAUGCUGCUGGCCCAAGCAGAUGACAAGGCUGCAUUUUGUACUAGAAGACCAAAUAUCUAUGUGUGUACAAGAGCUCACAAGCCCAGCAGUGAUGUGGGGCAGGGAAAAUGCCUUUUAAUGGGCUUUCCUUUCCCAAGUGUGCCAUGAGCCCUGUGAGAGAAGCAGGCAGCCCUGCUCCUUCAUGCUGCACUUCUGUGUGGCUGAAUAAAGGCAAAUCUUCUCACAGGCACAUGGUGUCCUGAGGACUUAUCACAGGAAAGCUUGGAAAAGGUUUGUACCCAGUUUUGCUUUCUGGAAGGGUGAAGGAUUUGGUCAAUUCAAAUCUCCUGAAUUGUUUUUCUGGACACCUGGGUUUCCUGGUGGAACCCUGUCUGUCUGUCUGUCUGGCAGAGAGGCUGCAGAGGAAACAGGUGUGUGUGCAUGAAUCACCUGCAGCACAAAGCCAAGGAAGUGGUGCCUGCCUUCUCCCCACAGCCACACAGAGCCCUGCUGGCUCUCCAGGUGGCCACAAACUCAUGUUCAAAGCUACAAGGAGUGGGGAGCAGGCUGGGGAGUUCCCUGAGCACUGAAGUCCUGCCUAACACAGCACUUUCCCCACUUAGCUUCCCAUUUAAUUUAAUUUGAGUUCUCUCUUGGUGCUCAUACAUAGUGUGGUGCCCUGCUCCAUAUAAAUCCAGGCACUGCAUUUUCACUGGGCCCUUUGCAUGCUAGAGCUUCUUGUUUUUAAUGCUAAGUGAAGUAAAAGAUGGAGUAUGACCACAGGACACCUAAGAGAGAACUAUCCCCAAAAUUGCUACCUGUACAGAAAUGUUUCAUUGGUGGGUUAAUGUCUUUAAUCUCUUUGAUUUAGUGAUUGACAGAUGUUGUUAAAAUGAGCUUGCACUGUGGAAAAACCCCUGUAGGAGCUCAUUCAGAGACCUGGGGAUAAAAUCUGACCAGUAAGUGUUGUCAGACAGGAUUGUGUUUGCUUGCUGAUGUUUAUUGCUUUCCUUGAAAUGGUGGAAAAGGAAGAAAUAUUUAAACUUGAUUGAAACAAGCUGAAGUACCUAUAAAUUCAUUGGUUUUGUUCUGAAUCUUGCAGUUCUGUUUGGCUUCUUGGUGAGAAGUGUGAAAUUUAUUUUCCUUAAAAACUACCCCUCAGGUUCAAUUGGGAUAUGAAAAAAUAGCUAUCAAAAUAAUGAGUAAUUUUUUUCCUGGUUGGGGGUGUUCAUCAUCUUUCUGUGUGUGAGAAACAGAGGUGCCUAAGCAGUGCACAUUAGUAGGAUAUAUGGGUUUUUGCAUGUGAUACCCAUGUGAUGUGGCAUAGGGACUCCCUAUAAUUAUCCUCUGCCUGUUGAAGGAGAGCAGUAAAUUGGUUCUUUCAGCCCAAGAGGAACCCAAGCUGGUUUUCCUGACAGUGCUCUCAGUGUUUAGGAGUGCUGUCACCAAACCAGAGGCAGCACAGGAUGUGGCCACUGAAAGAGCACUUCAGAAAAUGAGUGGCAGUGGUUAAAGGCAAGGCUGCAAAGAACAGAGAAAUGGGAAUCCUUGAUGUUGU